Molecule: RNA transcript, 1797 nt
Organism: Homo sapiens (human)
Lineage: Eukaryota; Metazoa; Chordata; Mammalia; Primates; Hominidae
Gene: RPL21P44
Gene name: ribosomal protein L21 pseudogene 44
Exons: 1
Source: RefSeq, marked validated
GAGGAAAGGAGAACACAAAGUAAAAGUGACACUGCCUAUUUCUUCACGGGUACAAGGGCCACUUAGGCUGGGAUGCUUUUCCUGAAAAUGCAGACCAUACAGAACAAGGCCAUGUGACUAAGAAUCCACAACAGAAACAAACACAAGACACAUAUGAGUUAGGAAAGUUAAGGAAGCAGUCCUUCCUUUCGGCCAAAACUGCCACCUUCCAGUAAUUUGCCACAAUGAUGAACACAAAGGGGGAAGAGGAGAGGCACCGGUAUACAUUCUCUAGGCCUUUUAGAAAACAUGGACUUGUUCCUUUGGUUACAAAUAUGCGAAUCUAUAAGAAAGGUGAUAUGGUACACAUCAACGGAAUGGAUACUGUUCAAAAAGGAAUGCCCCACAAGUGUUACCAUGGCAAAACUGAAAGUCUACAGUGUUCCCCAGCAUGCUGUUGGCAUUGUUGUAAACAAGGGUAAGAUUCUUGCCAAGAGAAUUAAUGUGCAUAUUGAGCACAUUAAGCACUGUAAGAGCCGAGAUAGCUUCCUGAAAUGUGUGAAGGAAAAUGAUCAGAAAAAGAAAGAAGCCAAAGAGGAAGGUACCUGGGUUCAAGUGAAGCACCAGCCUGCUCCACCCAGAGAAGCGCACUUUGUGAAAGCUUGUGGGAAGGAGCCUGAGCUGCUGGAACCUAUUCCCUGUGAAUUCAUGGCAUCAUAGGUGUUAAUAAAAUAAAAUAAAAUAAAAUAAAAUAAAAUAAAAUAAAAUAAAAUAAAAGACCUCUGGCUGUAAAACAAAACAAAACAAAAAAAUCAAAAAACAACAAAAAAGAAAGCAGUGGAGUGCAUUUGUAGAUUUGGUACAUUAAUGUGCCAGGCCCUCCAUCCCACUUCUCUGAAAGCCUCUCUCCUGUGUGUGAGAGGGAAGGCAUGGGGCAAGAAGGGGAAGGUCUUCCUUAAAUAGCUGGUGGUAACAUUGUCCUCAGCUCACCAAGAGAACUCUCUGAACAAUGUGACUCCUAUUAGAAAUGAGAACAAGUACCUAUUGUUUAGGCUUAAACAACUCUAAGUGUUUCUUUUAGAGAUAAUUAAUUUAAUUAAAAUGGUCCCUGAAGCCAAACUGAGCUUCAUAUUGAGCACUAUACACAUUCCUUCCAAAUUCCAGUACAAAGCUAUUCAGAAGUAGUAAACUAUCAGUCAUGUAGCUCACAUUUACUUCCACUGGAAUGGAGGCCCUAGCACAGGGGCUGGGAUAGGAGGCUCUUCCUGAGCUGGAGGGAGUAGCAUUAGUUCUGAUGCAGUUAGAGAAAAGAUGAUUUUUCAUCUGUGGAUUUAGUUCCAAAAAUGAUGUGGGCAUUUUUUCCUUCAUGGUAGUUUCAAGAAGAGAAAUUUGGUUUACUGACUGCAUCCAAAUCAACCAUCUACAGGAUACCCUCAGCAUGUCGGUGCUCAAUAAAUGAAUGAAUCAGUGGAUAAAUGGCCAGGCGCAGUGGCUCACCCCUGUAAUCCCAGCACUUUGGGAGGCCAAGUGACCUCAAGGCGGAUCACUUGAGGUCAGGAGUUCUAGACCAGCCUGGCCAGCACUUUAGGAGGCUGAGGCAGGGGUGGAUCACUUGAGGUCAAGAGUUUGAGACAAGCCUGGCCAACAUAGUGAAAAUCCGUCUCUACUAAAAAUACAAAAAUUAGCCAGGCAUGAUGGUGCACUGCUGUAAUCCCAGCUACUCAGGAGACUGAGGCAGAGGUUGCAGUGAGCUGAGGUCGUGCCACUGCACACAGCCUGGGCAACAGAGUGAGACUCUGUCUCAAAAAAAAAAAAAAA